UUGGAGGGCAGUCUGGUGCAGCAGCCGCGGUAAUUCCAGCUCCAUAGCGUAUAUUAAGUUGUUGCAGUUAAAAAGCUCGUAGUUGACUUCGGGGUCUACCCAUUGGUCAGGCUUAAUUGUCUGUACUGGUGAGAUGGAUCUCUACCUUCUGAGGAACUUUCAUGCCAUUUAUUUGGUGUGAUGGGAAAUCAGGACUGUUACUUUGAAAAAAUUAGAGUGUUUAAAGCAGACUAUCGUCUGAAUACAUUAGCAUGGAAUAAUGAAAUAGGACGGACUGAUUCUAUUUCGUUGGUUUCUAGGAUCACCGUAAUGAUUAAUAGGGAUAGUUGGGGGCAUUAAUAUUCAAUUGUCAGAGGUGAAAUUCUUGGAUUUAUUGAAGACUAACUACUGCGAAAGCAUUUGCCAAGGAUGUUUUCAUUAAUCAAGAACGAAAGUUAGGGGAUCGAAGACGAUCAGAUACCGUCGUAGUCUUAACCAUAAACUAUGCCGACUAGGGAUCGGACGAAGUUAAUUUUAUAAUGACGCGUUCGGCGCCUUACGGGAAAC
This 546-nucleotide ribosomal RNA is filed under the name uncultured Glomeromycotina. RNAcentral's name for it is "SSU rRNA". It matches the Rfam family "Eukaryotic small subunit ribosomal RNA", at positions 548 to 1098 of the family's 1831-position model. Lineage: Eukaryota; Fungi; Glomeromycota. The record is from RNAcentral.